GGUACUUUUGUAAUUCAAACAUUUCAAGACCCAACCAAACACCAGAAACCGUUCCCCUUUAGAGCCAUUUUGGUCCACACCUAAUUCAAGGUGGACCUGUUCUGAAUUCCAAGCCACACUCACUGACUCAACUUACAUUAAGCACCUACGAUAGACCAGGCACUGGAAAUGAACUGGUGAGACCCAGUUCCCGUCCUCAAGGAGCCCAGCCUGGCAAGAGUCACCAGCACACCAAGAAAUGUGGCAGAAACUCUGGGGCGCAUGCCAAAAAGGGUGUAGAAGGGACAGAGGAGGAGAUGCUAAGUCAGACAGGCAGGAUCUGGGAAGGCUUCCUGGAGGAGGAGGUAUUUGAACUGAAAUAUUUAAUGGACAAGCAGGAAUUGCUCGAGUGCACAAGGGGUAAGGAGUCCCAGGUGCACAUGAAGGUGCCACGGGGACAGCAGAUCAGCAG
This 451-nucleotide long non-coding RNA is filed under the name Marmota monax (woodchuck). Lineage: Eukaryota; Metazoa; Chordata; Mammalia; Rodentia; Sciuridae. The record is from RNAcentral.